AGUUCGGAUCGGAGUCUGCAACCCGACUCCGUGAAGCUGGAUUCGCUAGUAAUCGCGCAUCAGCCAUGGCGCGGUGAAUACGUUCCCGGGCCUUGUACACACCGCCCGUCAAGCCAUGGAAGCCGGGGGUGCCUGAAGUGUGCAGCCGCAAGGAGCGCCCUAAGGUAAAACCGGUGACUGGGGCUAAGUCGUAACAAGGUACC
This 203-nucleotide ribosomal RNA is filed under the name uncultured bacterium. Its description in RNAcentral is "partial 16S ribosomal RNA". It matches the Rfam family "Bacterial small subunit ribosomal RNA", at positions 1290 to 1500 of the family's 1533-position model. The record is from RNAcentral.